GACGAACGCUGGCGGCAUGCCUAAUACAUGCAAGUCGAGCGAACAGAUGAAGUGCUUGCACUUCUGACGUUAGCGGCGAACGGGUGAGUAACACGUAAGGAAUCUACCUAUAGGCGGGGGAUAACAUUCGGAAACGGGUGCUAAUACCGCAUAAUAUCUUCUUCCGCAUGGAAGAAGAUUGAAAGACGGCUCUGCUGUCACUUAUAGAUGACCUUGCGGUGCAUUAGUUAGUUGGUUGGGUAACGGCCUACCAAGACGAUGAUGCAUAGCCGACCUGAGAGGGUGAUCGGACACAUUGGGACUGAGACACGGCCCAAACUCCUACGGGAGGCAGCAGUAGGGAAUCUUCCGCAAUGGGCGAAAGCCUGACGGAGCAAUGCCGCGUGAGUGAAGAAGGCCUUCGGGUCGUAAAACUCUGUUAUAAGAGAAGAACAAAUUGUAGAGUAACUGCUACAGUCUUGACGGUAUCUUAUCAGAAAGCCACGGCUAACUACGUGCCAGCCGCCGCAGUAA
RNAcentral lists this ribosomal RNA (513 nucleotides) under uncultured bacterium. RNAcentral describes it as "partial 16S ribosomal RNA". It matches the Rfam family "Bacterial small subunit ribosomal RNA", at positions 28 to 523 of the family's 1533-position model. The record is from RNAcentral.